This 25-nucleotide non-coding RNA is filed under the name Cricetulus griseus (Chinese hamster). The record is from RNAcentral. Lineage: Eukaryota; Metazoa; Chordata; Mammalia; Rodentia; Cricetidae.
UUCUAACAGUCUGUAUUCCUGACAG